This 94-nucleotide small nucleolar RNA is filed under the name Nicotiana sylvestris (wood tobacco). RNAcentral's name for it is "Small nucleolar RNA snoR109". It matches the Rfam family "Small nucleolar RNA snoR109". Lineage: Eukaryota; Viridiplantae; Streptophyta; Magnoliopsida; Solanales; Solanaceae. The record is from Rfam by way of RNAcentral. RNAcentral also lists the same sequence under 1 other name.
UGGCUGUAGCUACAUGAAUUCAAUUUUGAGAGGUUAACUGGCCGGUUGUCGUUCUGCUGUCGAUAUAUAUCUGCUUACCAAACUUCUUACAUUU